Molecule: ribosomal RNA, 468 nt
Filed under: uncultured bacterium
Lineage: Bacteria
Description: partial 16S ribosomal RNA
Rfam family: Bacterial small subunit ribosomal RNA
Source: RNAcentral
GACGAACGCUGGCGGCGUGCUUAACACAUGCAAGUCGAACGGAAAGGCCCUGCUUUUGUGGGGUGCUCGAGUGGCGAACGGGUGAGUAACAAGUGAGUAACCUGCCCUUGACUUUGGGAUAACUUCAGGAAACUGGGGCUAAUACCGGAUAGGAGCUCCUGCUGCAUGGUGGGGGUUGGAAAGUUUCGGCGGUUGGGGAUGGACUCGCGGCUUAUCAGCUUGUUGGUGGGGUAGUGGCUUACCAAGGCUUUGACGGGUAGCCGGCCUGAGAGGGUGACCGGCCACAUUGGGACUGAGAUACGGCCCAGACUCCUACGGGAGGCAGCAGUGGGGAAUAUUGCACAAUGGGCGGAAGCCUAAUGCAGCAACGCCGCGUGCGGGAUGACGGCCUUCGGGUUGUAAACCGCUUUCGCCUGUGACGAAGCGUGAGUGACGGUAAUGGGUAAAGAAGCACCGGCUAACUACGUG